AAUUCUUUUUUCAUUAAUAACUUGUUUAUUUGAGCAUGCCUAGAAAUAAUUCCCUGGAAAUUCCAACCAUCAAAUCAAUCAAUCAAUACAAUCAUGGCGGGAAGCUGGACAGCUGUAGUGACUAGUGAGUGUAUAUCUAUGGCUGUUUGGAGGUUUCUAAACCUUUCUCUGUUUCCUGUAGAUAGUAAAAGUAUUUGAUAAGUAGACAGUGAAACCAGUUAGAUCAUACUGGCAAUGAAGGAAAGAUUGUGAAAGUGGGGCUUUACCCCUUUAAUAAUUUAGAGGAAGCUAUAAUCAAUAAUAAUUAAAAGAAUUAUUACUAUGGAUAUACAAAUGAGGAGGAAAUAGGAAAACCAUUUAAUGAAGGACAGUCUGUCCUCUGCAGGUCAUCUACUUGGGUCAAUCAAUGGUGCAGUCAAUAAUAUCCUAUUACGCGUACAGUAUAGCCUCUUUAUAAUGGACACUCUCUAUAGCAUACACCUCCAUUUAA
Amphimedon queenslandica is the source of this 490-nucleotide long non-coding RNA. RefSeq lists it as uncharacterized. The record is from RefSeq and is a predicted model, not a curated record. NCBI's taxonomy places the organism in Eukaryota, Metazoa, Porifera, Demospongiae, Haplosclerida, Niphatidae. The transcript is spliced from 4 exons.